This is a non-coding RNA of Acanthosepion pharaonis, 114 nucleotides long. The record is from the annotation of a GenBank genome assembly. NCBI's taxonomy places the organism in Eukaryota, Metazoa, Mollusca, Cephalopoda, Sepiida, Sepiidae.
UUACGGUCAUAUCACGUUGAAACACCAGUUCUCGCAUGAUCACUGAAGUUAAGGAACGUUGAGCUUUGUCAGUACCUAGAUGAGUGACCGAUUGGGAAUACCAAGUGCUGUAAG